ACCCCUCUGGUGUAUCGGUAACAUAGCGGAUUCUCACUCCGUUGCGCAGGGUUCGACUCCCUGGGGGGGUG
Echria macrotheca is the source of this 71-nucleotide non-coding RNA. NCBI's taxonomy places the organism in Eukaryota, Fungi, Ascomycota, Sordariomycetes, Sordariales, Schizotheciaceae. The record is from the annotation of a GenBank genome assembly.